RNAcentral lists this ribosomal RNA (350 nucleotides) under uncultured bacterium. RNAcentral's name for it is "bacterial SSU rRNA". It matches the Rfam family "Bacterial small subunit ribosomal RNA", at positions 355 to 697 of the family's 1533-position model. The record is from RNAcentral.
UGGGGAAUAUUGGACAAUGAGGGCAACCUUGAUCCAGCCAUGCCGCGUGUGUGAAGAAGGCCUUCGGGUUGUAAAGCACUUUAAGUUGUGAAGAAGGCUGUACGGCUAAUACCCGUGCAGAUUGACAUUAGCAACAGAAUAAGCACCGGCUAACUCCGUGCCAGCAGCCGCGGUAAUACGGAGGGUGCAAGCGUUAAUCGGAAUUACUGGGCGUAAAGCGCGCGUAGGUGGUUUGUUAAGUCGGAUGUGAAAGCCCAGGGCUCAACCUUGGAACUGCAUUCGAUACUGGCAGGCUAGAGUAUGGUAGAGGGAGGUAGAAUUCCACGUGUAGCGGUGAAAUGCGUAGAGAU